GGGAUGUAAUAUCUUCGGUCGAUUCUCAAACUUUAAAUACGCAAGAUAGAGAUGGUUGCUUAAUUGAACCUCUCUACUGAAAACGUCGGCCCUGUGGGCCACUUUUGGUAAGCAGAACUGGCGAUAUGGGAUGAACCAUAAGUUUGGUUAAGGCGUCAAAAUACCCGCUUAAAGAUCCCACAAAAGGUGUUGGUUCAUCUAGACAGCAGGACGGUGGCCAUGGAAGUCGGAAUCCGCUAAGGAGUGUGUAACAACUCACCUGCCGAAUGAACUAGCCCUGAAAAUGGAUGACGCUUAAGCGGGUUGCCGACACCAGACCGUUUCGAUAAGAAUCGAUCGAAAUGAGUAGGAGGGCGUGGCGGUUUUGUUGUGAAGGAUGAGACGCAAGUCUAUCUGAAACGGCCGCUAGUGCAGAUCUUGGUGGUAGUAGCAAAUAUUCAAGCGAGAUCCUUGAAGGGCGAAGCGGGGAAGGGUUCCACGCGAACAUUGAUUGGGCGUGGGUGAGUCGUUCCUAAGCCGGGUGGUAAUCGUUCUUCGAUCGGCGAAAGGGAAGCGGGUUAAAAUUCUCGCACACGGAUGUGGAGGCGGUGACGCAAAUUGAGGUGGAGACGUUAGCGGUGGCACUGGGCAGAGUUUUCUUUUCUGUUUAACCUGUGAGUGCACUCUGUGGAAUCCGAUUAUCGGGCGAAACAGGUGCUUAUGGGAAGAGCGUCGGGGCGUCCCCGGCGUCCAGUACGCCACCGAUAGCCCUUGAAAAUCCAUCUGCAAUGAAAUUUCACGCCGUGGCGUACCGAUAACCGCAUCAGGUCCCCAAGGUGAACAGCCUCUGCUCAAUAUGAACAAUGCAGGUAAGGGAAGUCGGCAAAAUAGACCCGUAACUUUGGGAAAAGGGUUGGCUCUAGUGGGGUGGGGGAUUUUACUGAGUCAUUUGGGUUUGGUUUGGCUGUGUCGAGUGGGCUAA
Molecule: ribosomal RNA, 961 nt
Filed under: Porolithon onkodes
Lineage: Eukaryota; Rhodophyta; Florideophyceae; Corallinales; Porolithaceae
Description: eukaryotic LSU rRNA
Rfam family: Eukaryotic large subunit ribosomal RNA
Source: RNAcentral